RNA transcript from Mirounga angustirostris (Northern elephant seal), 5271 nucleotides. It is a transcript of the gene named DNA polymerase delta 1, catalytic subunit, with no coding region annotated. The record is from RefSeq and is a predicted model, not a curated record. Lineage: Eukaryota; Metazoa; Chordata; Mammalia; Carnivora; Phocidae. The transcript is spliced from 26 exons.
AGACUCCCUGCCGAGCAGGGAGCCCGAUGCGGGACUCAAUCCCGGGACUCCAGGAUCAUGACCUGAGCCGAAGGCAGUCGCUUAUCCAACUGAGCCACGCAGGCGCCCUGUUAGGGUCUUUAUUGACACCAGCCCCCCGAACCUUUACUAGGCUGGUGGAAGGUUCAGGGUGAUGUGACUGGGCUCUGCAAGGGGGUGGGGGGGCAUUGCAGGAGAGGCUGACAGCCUUGGUGUCCUCUCCAUGUACAAGGUGAGUUGGAGCCUAUUGAAGGACAAAGGGAAUUUCAGUGGAUGGAGGGACCAGGGCUUUCACUAGGCAAAAAAUACUUGCUGAAGCCGCUUGUGGGCUAGGAACUGUGCUGGCCCUUGUGGGGAUGCAGAUGUUAUUCAUCCAACAAAUACAUAUGGGGCACUUAUUAUGUGGCAAACAUAAUUUUAGGCACUGGACACAUGGGAGAACAAGAUAAAAAUCCUCAGAGGUGGCUACCAGGCAGGGCUGGCAGUGCGGGGAUGGUAGGGGCCAGCUAGAAGGUGAGAGAAUAGGGGCUUUAAUGGGGGGCAGCACGCAGCUGUGUGGGACCUAGAGGUAGAAGGCAGGGAAGUCCUCACACAGGAUAUCCUGACCCAUCUGGGAUCUAAAGCAAGACGAGGGGGCGUGGCCCCCAAAUUGAGGGAAGGGCACAUGCCAAGUCUGGAAGGUGAGCGGCUCAGGUGAAUUCAGAGUCAGGUCGGGCUGUGGAAUUCUCUUAGUUCCUCCUCCGCCUGGGCCAGGCCCUGAGCGGUCACCGCUGUGAGCAGGAUGCACAGCCCUGGCUAAGGGUGAAGGGGGUGUUGCUUGGAGGGAUGGGCUGGGUACUGAAAGGUGUGUUUUAGAGCGAGUUGGGGGGGGGGUGACGGAAGUGACUAGUUACAAGCCGUCGUCCCAUUCCAAGCAGUCCGCCUGGCGCCCCCAGGUGUAGCCGCCCUGCGCGGAGUCUAGUUCACGGAUGGGGAAACUGAGGCCGUGAGACAGGAGGCCGACCAGACCUCCCCUCCACGGGGAGGGAAGACGUCGGGUGGCCAGCAGGACAGCAGCCAGGAAGUCCUCCCGACGUAGCCUCCGGCACAAAGCACGUGGGCAAGCAGAGGAGUCGCGCGCCGCGCCGCCCCGGCGGGCGGGAGGCGGGGCCGGAAGGACAGGUGGCGGGCCGCGCAGCUGCGCGCGCAGAUUGUGGAAAUCCGCGAAGGUAUCGUAAGGAGGGGGCGUGGCUUGGGAGGAGUUGCACUCCCUCAAGACGGGGCGGGGUUUGGCGAGAAUUUACAGGAAAUGGAAAGAGGCCACCUGCCAAUUUGGAAAGAUGGGGCGUGGCCUAGCCCCAGUCGACGGAGGGGCGCGGCCCCGAGCCCCUGUGGGGCGUGGUCUCGCCCUCCUUGGGCGGGAGGGGCGUGGCCCAGCUCCGCGCCCGGUGGCUCUGAGCCUGCGCGCGCCGGAGUCAGGGUUCACGGCGGCGUCGGCUGUGGCGGGAAACGCUGUUUGAAGCGGGAAGAAGACAGGAACCCUCCCCCAGCCCUGACUAGCCCAGCGGGAUGGAUGGCAAGCGGCGGCCAGGCCCAGGGCCUGGGGUGCCCCCGAAGCGCGCCCGUGGGGGCCUCUGGGAUGAGGAUGAGCCAUGUCAGCCAUCCCAGUUCGAGGAGGAGCUAGCGCUGAUGGAGGAGAUGGAGGCAGAACACAGGCUGCAGGAACAGGAGGAGGAGCUGCUGCAGCCGGGCCUGGACGGAGCAGUGGAUGGGCAGUUCUCCCCAACGGCCAUAGAUGCCCGCUGGCUGCGGCCCCCCCCGCCCCCCCUGGACCCCCGGACGGAGCCCCUCAUCUUCCAGCAGUUGGAAAUCGACCAUUACGUGGGCCCAGCACAGCCCCCGCCUGGAGCACCCCAGCGGUCGUGCGGCCCCGUGCCCGUGCUCCGUGCCUUUGGAGUUACCGACGAGGGCGUGUCGGUCUGCUGCCACAUCCACGGCUUUGCGCCCUACUUCUAUACCCCAGCGCCCCCUGGUUUUGGGCCCGAGCACCUGGGUGACCUGCAGCGGGAGCUGAAUGCGGCCAUCAGCAGGGACCAGCGCGGAGGGAAGGAGCUCACGGGGCCGGCGGUGCUGUCUGUGGAGCUGUGCUCCCGGGAGAGCAUGUUCGGGUACCAAGGGCACGGCCCUUCCCCGUUUCUGCGCAUCACCCUGGCACUGCCGCGCCUCAUGGCCCCCGCCCGCCGCCUCCUGGAGCAGGGCAUCCGUGUGGCAGGCCUGGGCACCCCCAGCUUCGCGCCCUAUGAGGCCAACGUCGAUUUUGAGAUCCGGUUCAUGGUGGACACAGACAUCGUCGGCUGCAACUGGUUGGAACUCCCAGCAGAGAAAUACGUCCUGAGGCUGGAGGGGAAGGCCACGCUGUGUCAGCUGGAGGCGGACGUGCUGUGGUCUGACGUAGUCAGUCACCCGCCGGAAGGGCAGUGGCAGCGAAUCGCACCCCUGCGCGUGCUCAGCUUUGACAUCGAGUGUGCUGGCCGCAAAGGCAUCUUCCCUGAACCCGAGCGGGACCCUGUGAUCCAGAUCUGCUCACUGGGCCUGCGCUGGGGUGAGCCGGAGCCCUUCCUGCGCCUGGCGCUCACUCUACGGCCCUGCGCCCCUAUCCUGGGCGCCAAAGUGCAGAGCUACGAGCGGGAGGAGGAACUGCUCCAGGCAUGGUCAACCUUCAUUCGCACCAUGGACCCUGAUGUGAUCACCGGCUACAACAUUCAGAACUUUGACCUUCCGUACCUCAUCUCCCGGGCCCAGACUCUCAAGGUGCAUACAUUCCCCUUCCUGGGCCGCGUGUCUGGCCUCCGCUCCAACAUCCGGGACUCGUCCUUCCAGUCCAAGCAGACGGGCCGCCGGGACAGCAAGGUGGUCAGCAUGGUGGGCCGCGUGCAGAUGGACAUGCUGCAGGUGCUGCUGCGGGAGUACAAGCUCCGCUCCUACACGCUCAACGCCGUGAGCUUCCACUUCCUGGGCGAGCAGAAAGAGGACGUGCAGCACAGCAUCAUCACCGACCUGCAGAACGGGAAUGACCAGACGCGCCGCCGGCUGGCCGUGUACUGCCUCAAGGACGCCUUCCUGCCCCUGCGGCUGCUGGAGCGGCUCAUGGUGCUGGUGAACGCCAUGGAGAUGGCGCGGGUCACUGGCGUGCCCCUCGGCUACCUGCUCAGCCGUGGCCAGCAGGUCAAGGUCGUGUCCCAGCUGCUGCGGCAGGCCAUGCACGAGGGACUGCUGAUGCCCGUGGUAAAGACGGAGGGCGGCGAGGACUACACGGGAGCCACAGUCAUCGAGCCCCUCAAAGGGUACUACGAUGUGCCCAUCACCACCCUGGACUUCUCCUCUCUGUACCCAUCCAUCAUGAUGGCCCACAAUCUGUGCUACACCACACUCCUGCGGCCCGGGGCUGCCCAGAGACUAGGGCUGACCGAGGAUCAGUUCAUCAAGACACCCACAGGGGAUGAGUUUGUGAAGACAUCAGUGCGGAAAGGGCUGCUGCCCCAGAUCCUGGAGAACCUGCUCAGCGCCCGGAAGAGGGCCAAGGCUGAGCUGGCCAAGGAGACAGACCCCCUGCGUCGGCAGGUCUUGGACGGGCGGCAGCUGGCACUGAAAGUGAGCGCCAACUCUGUCUAUGGCUUCACUGGUGCCCAGGUGGGCAAGCUGCCGUGCCUGGAGAUCUCUCAGAGUGUCACUGGGUUCGGGCGCCAGAUGAUUGAGAGAACAAAGCAGCUGGUGGAGUCCAAGUACACGGUGGAGAAUGGCUAUGGCGCCCACGCCAAGGUGGUAUAUGGUGACACUGACUCAGUCAUGUGCCGAUUUGGUGUCUCCUCUGUGGCCGAGGCGAUGGCUCUGGGGCGGGAGGCCGCAGACUGGGUGUCAGGCCACUUUCCCCCGCCGAUCCGGCUCGAGUUUGAAAAGGUCUACUUUCCCUACCUGCUCAUCAGCAAGAAGCGGUACGCCGGCCUGCUCUUCUCCUCCCGGCCGGACGCUCAUGACCGCAUGGACUGCAAGGGCCUGGAGGCCGUGCGCCGGGACAACUGCCCCCUCGUGGCCAACCUCGUCACUGCGUCCCUGCGCCGCCUGCUCAUUGACAGAGAUCCCGCGGGCGCCGUGGCCCACGCGCAGGACGUCAUCUCCGACUUGCUGUGUAACCGCAUUGACAUCUCCCAGCUGGUCAUCACCAAGGAGCUGACCCGCGCGGCCGCGGACUACGCCGGCAAGCAGGCCCAUGUGGAGCUGGCCGAGAGGAUGAGGAAGCGGGACCCCGGGAGUGCGCCCAGCUUGGGCGACCGUGUCCCCUACGUGAUCAUCGGUGCUGCCAAGGGCGUGGCUGCCUACAUGAAGUCCGAGGACCCCCUGUUUGUGCUGGAGCACAGCCUGCCCAUCGACACGCAGUACUACUUAGAGCAACAGCUCGCCAAGCCGCUCCUGCGCAUCUUCGAGCCCAUCCUGGGCGAGGGCCGCGCCGAGGCCGUGCUGCUGAGGGGUGACCACACGCGCUGCAAGACCGUGCUCACGGGCAAGGUGGGCGGCCUCCUGGCCUUUGCCAAACGCCACAGCUGCUGCGUCGGCUGCCGCACGGUCCUCGGUCACCAGGGUGAGCCCCGGGCCCCCGGCCCCCGCCCCACGAGCUGGCAGUGCCACCCGGAUGGGCCCCGGCCCCUGGCUGGGGGCGCCCGUUUCCAGGCACCCACCCCCUCGAGGGUCCUGGGCCCCCCGCCCAGGGAGUUCCCCGGGGAGUUUUCUCCCACACACUUGCUCCCUUGUUCUCUUGUCUCCGGGGACUUUCAGGAGCCGGGAUGGGCAGCGGGUGGGGAAGGGGCAGGGAUAGGGCGGCCCGGGCCCUGGCUGGGCCCCAGCUCCCCUGUGCCGCCCCGCCCCCUCUGCCAGGAGCCGUGUGCAAGUUCUGCCAGCCUCGGGAGUCCGAGCUGUAUCAGAAGGAGGUGUCCCACCUGAACGCUCUGGAGGAGCGCUUCUCGCGCCUCUGGACCCAGUGCCAGCGCUGUCAGGGCAGCCUGCAUGAGGAUGUCAUCUGCACCAGCCGGGACUGCCCCAUCUUCUACAUGCGCAAGAAGGUUCGGAAGGACCUGGAAGACCAGGAGCAGCUUCUGAGGCGCUUUGGCCCUCCCGGCCCUGAGGCCUGGUGACCUCUGACCGGGGCAGGCUUCUCACCAGGGCUGGGGGGCGGGGGGGCAGUGUUGGCAGAGAAUUAAUAAAGUUCAGGCCUUUUGUUUC